CCUGCGUGACUGACAUAUAGAUCAUAAAAUAUUUCCAUACACCAAAUAUAGUUGAACUAUUGCAUAUAGUAUUAGAAAAAAAGACCAAAACUCAAAAACUUAACUUUGACCACUGAACCAUGAAAAUGAGGUCAAGGUCAGAUGACACCUGCCAGUUGGACAUGUACACCUUACAGUCCUUCCAUACACCGAAUAUACUAGACCUAUUGCUUAUAGUAUCUGAGAUAUGGACUUGACCACGAAAACUUAACCUUGUUCACUGAUCCAUGAAAUGAGGUCGAGGUCAAGUGAAAACUGUCUGAAGGGCAUGAGGACCUUGCAAGGUACGCACAUACCAAAUAUAGUUAUCCUAUUACUUAUAAUAAGAGAGAAUUUAACA
Molecule: long non-coding RNA, 379 nt
Organism: Mytilus californianus (California mussel)
Lineage: Eukaryota; Metazoa; Mollusca; Bivalvia; Mytilida; Mytilidae
Exons: 2
Source: RefSeq, a predicted model, not a curated record